UCAUGGCUCAGAUUGAACGCUGGCGGCGUGCUUAACACAUGCAAGUCGCGCGUGAAAGGACUUCGGUCCGAGUAAAGCGGCGCACGGGUGAGUAACGCGUGGAUGAUCUACCCAUGAGUUAGGAAUAACGGCUGGAAACGGUCGCUAAUACCAAAUACGCUCCGAUUUCAACUUCGGGGGAAAGGUGGCCUCUGCUUGCAAGCUACUGCUCAUGGAUGAGUCCGCGUCCCAUUAGCUAGUUGGUGGGGUAACGGCCCACCAAGGCGACGAUGGGUAGCCGGUCUGAGAGGAUGACCGGCCACACUGGGACUGGAACACGGCCCAGACUCCUACGGGAGGCAGCAGUGGGGAAUAUUGCGCAAUGGGCGAAAGCCUGACGCAGCGACGCCGCGUGAGGGAUGAAGGUCCUCGGAUCGUAAACCUCUGUCAGGAGGGAAGAACCGCCACGGUGCUAAUCAGCCGUGGUCUGACGGUACCUCCAAAGGAAGCACCGGCUAACUCCGUGCCAGCCGCUGC
This 516-nucleotide ribosomal RNA is filed under the name uncultured bacterium. Its description in RNAcentral is "bacterial SSU rRNA". It matches the Rfam family "Bacterial small subunit ribosomal RNA", at positions 17 to 518 of the family's 1533-position model. The record is from RNAcentral.